This is a long non-coding RNA of Helianthus annuus (common sunflower), 1609 nucleotides long. RefSeq lists it as uncharacterized. Lineage: Eukaryota; Viridiplantae; Streptophyta; Magnoliopsida; Asterales; Asteraceae. The transcript has 6 exons. The record is from RefSeq and is a predicted model, not a curated record.
CAAACACCCCAUAUAUCUUCUCUUUUGCAAACCCUAGAUUCCCAUACUUUUCUUUUUCCUGGUUCAUACACACACCUUAUAGAAACCCGCAUGGAUGAAUUUUUGGGCGGCCAAUUCUUGCGUUCGAAUUUUGAAUUCCCGCUGCACAUCCCAAUCACGGUUAUCAUGCCUUUUCCAUUUUCUUUUCAUUUGCAUAUAGAGAGAGUGAGAGCGAAAAGAGAGAGAGGGGCAGGAGAGUCUCUAGGGGAAAGGAAGUCCGGCAAGGUUUUUGGUUGGCGACCGCAGAGGAAAGGAAGUCCGGCAAGGUUUUUGGUUGGCGACCAGCGGUAGUGGCGGCUAGGGUUUCAAGCCGAUUUUCUCAGGUGGCGGCAGGAACAAAAUAAGCGGCGGCUAGGGUUCCGACCACCCUUAUUCACAGCGCAUGCCUUUUUCUUCUUGUAGAUCGACUACUUUAGUAGUUGAACCUGAUUUGGUGACAUGGACCAACCGAUUACUGGUAUUGCUACAACGUUGCUUCUGGUAAUAUUUGAAAUUAAUGUCAACCAGAGCGUAUUAGAAGGAGUGGGUAAAGAAGAAGAAAAGAUCAUUCAUUGGUGGUUCUAGGUUUUCAUUGAAAUAAAAGACCAAAGAUGAGAAUGGGGAACCUGUUAUUACUUUUUCUUUUGAAUUUUAUGAACUAAAUUAUUCAUUUUUUUGGUUUCUUGUAUAAGCAAGUUUUUAGUUGCUUUUAAUUUGGUUGUUAGUUCAUGUGAAUUUGCUGAUAAUGAGUUAAAUUAUUUUUUGCACAGGAACUAGACAUGGAUUCACUUCCAAGGAACAAGCAUGAGUUAACUGUCAUUUUGAAGGAUGUUACAUCAAAUAGAAAUAAUGGAAACGCUAGCCUGGGCCAGUGGUGGAUUUUCUUAUCAACAACCAAAAUGUGAAAGAUCCUUACUCAAUUGACUGGGCUAAGGCAAAGCGGACCCUAAAAAACCUUAGGGUGAAGGCCAGCCCGACUAAUACAGAGUACAAGAUUACUGGUCUGAGUGAGAAGCCCUGCAACGAACAACUCAAGAACUGGAAGCAAGUACAGCACAACCUAUAUUUGUUGAUUCAAGUAUCAGUGAAGUGUGCACGCAUCCUGAAAUGUGUCCUAGCUUGGCUAUGGUCAGGUUAUAUAGAGCUGCCAAUAUAUGUAGCAGAGCUAAAAGAAAAUGGAGGAAACAUCAAGAAAUUCAGUAGCAUCAUUCACUUAUUUAAGCUGAAAACAUGAUAUGCUGACCAGUUGUGCUCAGAUCAUGCCAUGCUUCUUAUAUUAAAAAUUUGUUUGUACCACUGACCUGUCGGGAGUGGUGCUCAGGUGAUGCAGGGUAGCGGCUAGGGCUCUACUAGGAUUCGGUGUCAGCUAUGGUUGUGCUAAUGACAAGUUCAUAUCAAUUGUCAAGAUCCAACUCUUGAUUCUCUUGUUAAGUUGACAAGCCUUUUGAUUAUUUAUGAUUUUACUGUCUUGUAGUUUACAUUUGUUUCAUGUAUUAAUCAAAUUUACACUUUGUUUCAUGUAUUAAUCAAUCGUGACAUUUGUGACAUUAUGUAUGAUUUUACUACCUUUUAGUUUACAUUUGUUUCAACA